This 490-nucleotide ribosomal RNA is filed under the name uncultured bacterium. RNAcentral's name for it is "partial 16S ribosomal RNA". It matches the Rfam family "Bacterial small subunit ribosomal RNA", at positions 28 to 507 of the family's 1533-position model. The record is from RNAcentral.
GAUGAACGCUAGCGAUAGGCUUAACACAUGCAAGUCGAGGGGCAGCAUGGUCUUAGCUUGCUAAGACUGAUGGCGACCGGCGCACGGGUGCGUAACGCGUAUGCAACUUGCCUCACAGAGGGGGAUAACCCGUCGAAAGACGGACUAAUACCGCGUACACUCCAUCUUGGGCAUCCAAGGUAGAGGAAAUGAAAUUCGCUGUGAGAUAGGCAUGCGUCCCAUUAGCUAGUUGGUGAGGUAACGGCUCACCAAGGCGACGAUGGGUAGGGGAACUGAGAGGUUGAACCCCCACACUGGUACUGAGGCACGGACCAGACUCCUACGGGAGGCAGCAGUGAGGAAUAUUGGUCAAUGGGCGAGAGCCUGAACCAGCCAAGUCGCGUGAAGGAUGACUGUCUUAUGGAUUGUAAACUUCUUUUAUACGGGAAUAACAAGAGUCACGUGUGACUCCCUGCAUGUACCGUAUGAAUAAGCAUCGGCUAACUCCGUG